RNAcentral lists this ribosomal RNA (415 nucleotides) under uncultured bacterium. RNAcentral's name for it is "bacterial SSU rRNA". It matches the Rfam family "Bacterial small subunit ribosomal RNA", at positions 355 to 786 of the family's 1533-position model. The record is from RNAcentral.
UAGGGAAUUUUCCGCAAUGGGCGAAAGCCUGACGGAGCAACGCCGCGUGAGGGAGGAAGGCCUUCGGGUUGUAAACCUCUUUCGGCAGGGACGAAGUUGACGUGUACCUGCAGAAGAAGCGCCGGCCAACUACGUGCCAGCAGCCGCGGUAAUACGUAGGGCGCGAGCGUUGUCCGGAUUCAUUGGGCGUAAAGAGCUCGUAGGCGGCCUGCCGCGUCUGCCGUGAAAGCCCACGGCUCAACCGUGGGUCUGCGGCGGAUACGGGCGGGCUUGAGGCUGGUAGGGGCAAGCGGAAUUCCUGGUGUAGCGGUGAAAUGCGCAGAUAUCAGGAGGAACACCGGUGGCGAAGGCGGCUUGCUGGGCCAGUCCUGACGCUGAGGAGCGAAAGCGUGGGGAGCGAACAGGAUUAGAUACC